UUGAAUUCACCACCAUUAUAGGGUUUCAUUGGAUUACAUGACUUAAUUAUCGAAAAGAAAGAAAAAAAGUAUAAGUAUGCCAUAAUGAGUUUCGCUAGGUAAAAUAUAUUAAAAGGAAACUUCUUGUUUUGUUUCUUCUUCGUACAGUUUCGUCAAAAUAAAAUAAAAACAAUAGUGAAAAAAAAAAUUAAUUCUAUAUUUAUUAGUUUAAAGUUGAAAACCAUAAUGAUAAGUUUUUAGAAAAAUAGUAUUCUAAGCCGAACGGUUAUGGAAGAUGCUAUUGUGGCUGCAUUAUGGAUUAAGAACCAUUAGCAAAAUCAGGUAUAUGAAAAAUCGAGAGAAG
This 343-nucleotide long non-coding RNA is filed under the name Capsella rubella. RNAcentral describes it as "long non-coding RNA (CRUB_LNC002641)". The record is from RNAcentral. Lineage: Eukaryota; Viridiplantae; Streptophyta; Magnoliopsida; Brassicales; Brassicaceae.